This 468-nucleotide ribosomal RNA is filed under the name uncultured bacterium. Its description in RNAcentral is "partial 16S ribosomal RNA". It matches the Rfam family "Bacterial small subunit ribosomal RNA", at positions 28 to 507 of the family's 1533-position model. The record is from RNAcentral.
GACGAACGCUGGCGGCGUGCUUAACACAUGCAAGUCGAACGGAAAGGCCCUGCUUUUGUGGGGUGCUCGAGUGGCGAACGGGUGAGUAACACGUGAGUAACCUGCCCUUGACUUUGGGAUAACUUCAGGAAACUGGGGCUAAUACCGGAUAGGAGCUCCUGCUGCAUGGUGGGGGUUGGAAAGUUUCGGCGGUUGGGGAUGGACUCGCGGCUUAUCAGCUUGUUGGUGGGGUAGUGGCUUACCAAGGCUUUGACGGGUAGCCGGCCUGAGAGGGUGACCGGCCACAUUGGGACUGAGAUACGGACCAGACUGCUACGGGAGGCAGCAGUGGGGAAUAUGGCACAAUGGGCGGAAGCCUGAUGCAGCAACGCCGCGUGCGGGAUGACGGCCUUCGGGUUGUAAACCGCUUUCGCCUGUGACGAAGCGUGAGUGACGGUAAUGGGUAAAGAAGCACCGGCUAACUACGUG